AACGGCUACUGUGCGCAAUUUACC
This 24-nucleotide non-coding RNA is filed under the name Arabidopsis thaliana (thale cress). The record is from RNAcentral. Lineage: Eukaryota; Viridiplantae; Streptophyta; Magnoliopsida; Brassicales; Brassicaceae.